GGGAAUCUGUGAGCGACCCCAGAGUAAUGGACCUGGACUGCCUCUGGCGCAGGACUGGAUCAGACCAGGGAGCCUCCAGCCAGAGGCUCUUGGCCAGUACUGGAAAAGAGACAUAGAACCAACCUCCGUGCUGGGUCCAAAAAUCUCAGAGCUAAGGAUGAUCGUGGCCUGGAGGCUUGGAAAUCCAAGAUCACCUGACCGCAUCUGGGGAGGGUCUCACGCUGCUUUGACCCACGGUGGAAAACAGAAAGGCCAGUGGAUCCAGGAUUGGUUCCACGGGGCUCCUGAUCUUCAGUCUCACUAUUUGCUAAAUGCAGCGUAGAAAAUCCUAACUUGUAUGCCCUGUGUCCAGCGUUGCCUGGGCCAGCCUCGCUCAUCCGGCUGUGGGUUCACUGACAUGCAAAUUAGGUAGCUCAAAAGGACAAGAAAUGGAAUGAUGCCUGCCUGCCGCCGAGUCUGCCUGCCGUGAAGGACUCGCACACUCUGGGACCAUACGCCCAAAGAAAGCAGCUAUCUUGGAGGAGCAGCUGGACACAGAACAGACAAGACCCACUAGCGUGUCAGCCAGCAUAAACAAGUCUACUAUCAGAUGGACACUGUGUCAUGAGCCAGGGACACCCUACGAUGAGGCAGAUACCACCCCAUCCC
RNAcentral lists this long non-coding RNA (648 nucleotides) under Rattus norvegicus (Norway rat). RNAcentral's name for it is "long non-coding RNA NONRATT024594". Lineage: Eukaryota; Metazoa; Chordata; Mammalia; Rodentia; Muridae. The record is from RNAcentral.